ACCUCUCUGAUGCAUUGGUAAACAUCCAGCAGACAGAGACUCAUAAGAUAGCCAAUUCUUUAUUCUUUAUUCAAGUUUACACACAGCAGAAGGUAAGAGAAGUCCAUGAUUCUUGUGAAAAAGUUGGUUUGCACAUCUGGUCCCUUCUCUAGGCAUGAUUAAAGCUACAAUGAAGGAGUGAGAAAAAGAAAAAGAAAAAGAUUUUUUCUUUUCCCCUCACUUUUCUACACCAUAAAGCUUUGUUAGAGGUGGAGAGUGUUGGCCCUUAAUCCUGCCCCAGUUUGCAUCAUCAUUUGCUGCCUCUUUUCUUUUCAUUCGCCCUCUCUUUUUACUGGGUAUCUGUCUGUCGGUUCAAUUUUAAACGGUUGAAAUAAACACACAGUAUUAGGUAUAAUUUCUUGAUUCACCACAUCUAUUGAGUCUCUAUUUUGUCCACUUGUUACUGUAGAACAGGGGAGAACCUGUGAGAUUACGAAGAAAAUUUUUGACACUAUCCUAUCUAUAAGAUGACAAAGUUCAUCAGAAUUAUCAAAAUUGAGUCUGAGUGUUCUAAUUUCUAUAACAAUUAAAGGGUUGCAACUGUAACUUCAGCAUUUGGGUUCAUGGGUUAAGAUCUCAGCACAAGUUACAAGAAAACAGUGGUGGGGAGAGACCAAAACAAGAUCAAACAGAGUAACAUCAACUUACGAGAUUCAUGCACUGAGGAGAAAACUAUUCAUUUUUGUACUAUAGCCAUUAGUUUUAUCAGAUCAUAGCCUCUAAGCAGAUAGAAUCACAAAGCUAAGUAUUUUCCUAGAAAAGAAAUUUUUCUAGCAUUAACUAUUAGCCAUGAAAGGAAAUUAAGAAAAUUCUUCAAGUAAUUUACCAAAAUGGGUAGAAGGAACUAAUGAAUUUCUGCAAUUAUUCUUCAAGAUAAUUAAGAAUAUAUAACUGUUCAGCAUACCUUCUGUUGCAGAAGUUCCAGUAACCACUGCCACUUUAUCAGAGCAGUUGGAGUUGGAGAGUCGGAG
This 1010-nucleotide long non-coding RNA is filed under the name Manihot esculenta (cassava). RNAcentral describes it as "long non-coding RNA (MESC_LNC004241)". The record is from RNAcentral. Lineage: Eukaryota; Viridiplantae; Streptophyta; Magnoliopsida; Malpighiales; Euphorbiaceae.